RNAcentral lists this ribosomal RNA (253 nucleotides) under uncultured bacterium. RNAcentral's name for it is "partial 16S ribosomal RNA". It matches the Rfam family "Bacterial small subunit ribosomal RNA", at positions 524 to 776 of the family's 1533-position model. The record is from RNAcentral.
UACGUAGGGCGCAAGCGUUGUCCGGAAUUAUUGGGCGUAAAGAGCUCGUAGGCGGCUUGUCACGUCGGGUGUGAAAGACCGGGGCUUAACCCCGGUUCUGCAUUCGAUACGGGCUGGCUAGAGUGUGGUAGGGGAGAUCGGAAUUCCUGGUGUAGCGGUGAAAUGCGCAGAUAUCAGGAGGAAUACCGAUGGCGAAGGCAGGUCUCUGGGCCAAUACUGACGCUCAUGCACGAAAGCGUGGGGAGCAAACAGG